Long non-coding RNA from Schistocerca americana (American grasshopper), 626 nucleotides. RefSeq lists it as uncharacterized. The transcript has 3 exons. The record is from RefSeq and is a predicted model, not a curated record. Lineage: Eukaryota; Metazoa; Arthropoda; Insecta; Orthoptera; Acrididae.
GAAAACGUGCAACAAGUCACUUCCGCAAUAAAUUGCUACAGUCGCAAGUCGACUUGGCGAUAUGUUUACAUUCGCAAAUCGCGCAGCAAGUUCCUCCGUGCAAGUAAAUUGCUGCAAUAACUUGCUAGUGUAAACCGAGCAUACACCAAGGAAAAAAUACUUGUAUGAGAAGAGCAACUUCUCCACGUGAGCAGCUGAAAUUGACAUUACGAUUUCUUGCAUCAGAAAGAAACAGAAGGACAUGUAAUUUUUGGCUGAAAUUCCGAAACAAGAAUUCAACGAAAUCAUAGGUAACACAAGGAAAGCUAUUUGCACUGUCCUGAAGAAGGAAAUCUUGAAGGCUCAGCAAAUGACGCAGUUGCUUGCUGCCAUAAAAGGACUGGUCACACUACAAACUGGAGCUACGUCGGCGCCUCUGACGCCACUGCCUGUACCGACGCCGUCGCCAACGGCGCCACCAUUUCGUGCCUUCAAUCACGACGUUGAACACUGGCCAGAAUACAUCGCCCAGCUCGAGGCUUACUUCGCAGCAUACAAUUUACCAGAAUUGGAGGCUUCGCGGCUUCCGCCGCCUCAGUCCACGACUGAGACGGCGCUUCCGCCGUCGCCGUCGCCGUCGCCGUCGC